GAAAGCUGUAUGCGUAGAAAUGCGCCUGUACAGUUUGAGAAGGGGGCAACAGAAAAGGUCCGUCAGGAACCUCGCUGGUGCCCUACUUCAU
Molecule: non-coding RNA, 91 nt
Organism: Ktedonobacter sp. 13_1_20CM_3_54_15
Lineage: Bacteria; Bacillati; Chloroflexota; Ktedonobacteria; Ktedonobacterales; Ktedonobacteraceae
Source: Rfam